Molecule: long non-coding RNA, 4535 nt
Organism: Neofelis nebulosa (Clouded leopard)
Lineage: Eukaryota; Metazoa; Chordata; Mammalia; Carnivora; Felidae
Exons: 5
Source: RefSeq, a predicted model, not a curated record
CCAUAUUCUCCCUCUGGAACGAGCAGUGUGCAUCUAAAACGUGGGUUGCUAUCCUCCUGUCCACAACCAAUCUGAGGAUUCCAGAAGAACUCGUGGAUUGCGCGGUCCCACGACAUCACCUCAUCGAUGCAGUCGAUGGUUUGUUCCAGAUUCAGGCUUGUUUCCGGGAAGAAACCCUGACAGAAGUUCAGAAGAACGGGAGCUGCAUUCCGUUAGGACGUGAAUACAUGAAAUGCUCGUCUCACGACCUUCUAGAAGAAUGAGCUGGGACCCAGUUUCUGAGUCCUGCUGGAACCAGAGACCGAGGUGUGGAGUUUCUUCUGCCAGUCUUUGGAUUGCUCUCUGUUUCAUGGACUUGGGUGUGGAUAUUAUGUAGUUGAACACAUGGGACAAGGUAUUUCCCAGGUGUCUGAAAGCCUGCAUUGAGCUGAGCCUUAAGAGAGAUGUUUGGAAUUCAUUUUUGAGAGUAGACAGCCAGUCCAAGAAAGCUUUGUAAUUGGCUCUUAGAUUUAAGUUGUGAGAGAUUGUGGAUGCCUUGAGUGUGCGUGGAUCUAGAUGGCGGCCUUGUUCUGAGAACAGGCCACUGCUACGACGCCCAACAGGGAACCCUAAGCAGAGAGGGAUUCAGGAGCAGACCAGCUACCACUUUUCUCCCACAAAUGGUCGCCUUGGAACUCUUUAUGGAAGAGGAGAAAACACCCACCACCACCGUUUCAUAACCCUGCACCAAAUGUGGAGACAACAACCACCCACCCCCAAAAUGAAACUCCAGCAGGGUACAUGUAUGGAACCUAAGGUGUUGGUCAUGUAUUUUGGAUCAAUAAGUGAGGUUGUACUUUUGACUGGUAAGUGUACAUCUAAAUCCCUCAGAGAGGAUAUUAUCUGAGGUCACCCCAACUUAAAUUGUUGGCCCAUGGGGAGAUGUGUUGUCCCUAUUGGUUGUAUUGAUGUUGUCUCUGCAGGCCAGUGAAUUAAAGCUCCAUAGGGUCUUGUCCUAUUCCCGCCUCUUCAUGGGAAGUUCCAUUUCACUGAUUGGAAGAGACAAUACAACCCUCGUGUGGCCAUUCAUAUGAGUCACUAUUUAGGGAACAAAUGAUUAUGCUACCUUUGCAUGGUCAUUUCACGAAUGUCCCUGGGCAGGCAGGGCCUCUAAAACUACAAAUGCUACAGGUUAUUUUAUUGGUAAACAGGUGGGGUUUGUGUUCACUGAGUUCUUUUUAUUUCUUUUCAUUUUUCCUUGAUUGUCUAUCUGUGUUGGGUCAACAAUUGGUUUGAUAUUGACUUUACAGUUAGGUUAUUUUUAUCUCAUGUUUAUCCAUGGUUAUCUGCUCUGAUAGAUGCUUAUCCAAGGACAAAUAUUUCUUGUUGCACAUACUAACCUUAUUGCUUCUAUUGUGAAAUUAACCUGGUCAUAACUUAGGGGUUGGUUGUCUUUUUUUUGUAUUCAGAUCUUAAGAUCAUAUACAAGUGCCUGAGCCAUACUAUGAACGCUCAUCGCCACAGACCUAACAACCGCCUACAGUAUGCGAAUCAUAUCUUUUGCCCUUCUAGGUCAGCCUGAUACACGUACUUGGUGAUGCAGGGGUGUAAUGCUCAAAUCCCUUAUCGGUCUUGGACGGGUGUCAUGCUAGCACUCCCCCAUCGGCAAGGGAGUAGUGAUACCACCACUAAAUCUAACAUUUCUUGAAUAGUUUUCAUCACAGUCAGAGCUGAAGAAGCAGUCUUAUGUUACAGUUAGGGUUAGGGAUAGGAUUAGAGUUAGAGUUAGGGGUUAGGAUAAAGGUUAGGUCACACUUACACCCCCCCCUUAGGUGUGGGAGGGAGGCACUCAUGCACCUUGCCACUCCUCAGCAUGGGAGGGUGUCAUCCAUGUGCCAGCACCCCUUGGCGAGGGAGUAGUGAUGCCACUAUUAAAUCUGAUGUUUCAUGAAUGGGUCUUUUCACUUUCAUGGCUGAAGAAGCAGCAUCUCUUAUGAUGAGGGUUAGAGUUUGGAUUACCCUGAGGGAUAGGGUAAGAGUUAGGUCAUGCUUGCACCCCCCGUUUGGCAAGGGAGGACGGUCACACCUGACCCCCACCACCCUUGGUGCCAAAGGGUGUUCAGGCAUGCACCCUGCCUCCCCUCCACAAAGGAGUAGUGAUGCCACUAUUUAAUGUGUUGUUUUAUGAAUGGCUCUUUUCACUUUCACAGCUGAAGAAGCAGGCAUUUCUUAAGGUAAGGGUUAUGGUUAGGAUUGCCGUUCAUGGUUCGGGUAAGGGAUAGACCAUGCCUGCACCCUCCCUUGGAGUGGGAGGGCGUUCACACAUGCUCCACGCCCCCUCUCAUCUGGAGAGGGUGUUCACCAAUAGGACUCAGCCCCCUUCCGCGGGGGAGCGUGUUGAUGUAUGCGCCUGCACCCCUCUCGUGUGCGAGGGUGUUCACGCAUGAACACCACAACCCUAGGCGAGGGAGGGCAUUUGCCCCUGCUCCCUGCCCUCUUUGGCUCAGGAGGGUGUUCACGCAUGCGCACAGUCCCCCGUUGGCUUGGGAGGGUGUUCAGUUAUGUGCACGCACAGGCCUCUAGGUGCGGGAGGGGUUCACGCAUGUGCCCUGCCCCCCUGAGGCGCUGGAGAGGGUCACUUGUGCACAGCACCACUAGUCAGUAAGGGAGUAGUGAUGCCACUAUUAAAUCUCAUUUUUCAUGGACGGCUGUUUUCAUUUUCACAGCUGAAGAAGCAUACAUCUCUUAAGGUCAAGGGUAGGGUUAGCAUUACAGUUAGGGGUUAAGAUAACUGUUAGUUCAAUCUUGCUCUCCCCCCUCAGCAUGGGAAUGUUUCACGCAUUACCCUGCUAUCCUGAGCAAAGGAGAGUGUUCACCCUUUCACCCCACCCCCUGAGAGUGGCAAAAUAUUGAAGCAUGUGCUCCACUCCACCUCUGCUGCGUAGGUCGCCACUUCGGGACAGAUUGUUCAUACAUGUGUACCACCACCUCUCGGUGUGGGAGGGUGUUCACUCAUGGCACACCCCACCUAUGCAUGGGAGAUGGUUCAUGCAUGUGUCUUGCCCACCUCAGCAUGGGAGGGUUUUUACACAUGUGCACAGCCCCACCUUGGUGUGGGAGAGGUCACCCAUGCAGAGCGCCACCCAUCAAUGAGGGAAUAGUGAUGCCACUAUUAAAUGUGAUGUUUCAUGAAUGGUUCUUUUCACUUUCACAGCUGAACUAGCAGACAACCCUUAAGGUAAGGGUUAGGGUUAGCAUUACUACUAACGGUUAGGGUAAGGGUUAGGUCAUGCUUCCACACCCCUCGUCACCAGAGUAUAUUCACGCAAUAGCACCGCCCUUCAGUGCAGGAGAAUAUUAAUGCAUGUGCCCCACCCCUUUCAGCAUGGUAGGAUGUUCACACAUGUGCCCCAUCCCCUUCCACUUGGUAGUGCGUUCACGUAUUCGCACAUUUGCACAUCCCUCCUAAGGUGAGUGAGGGUGUUGACACAUGUGCCCUGUCUCCCUCCACAUGGGAGGUGGUUCACAAAUGCUCCUCACCUCUUGGCGAGGGAGGGUGUCACCCAUUAACAGUGCCACCCCUCGGAGAGGGAGUAGUGUUGUCACUAUUAAAUGUGACUUUUCAUCAAUGAUUCUUUUCCUUUCACAGCUGAAGAAGCACACAUCACUUAAGGUAAGGGUUAGGGUUAGCAUUACAUCUAGGGUUUAGGGUAAGGGUUAGGUCAUGCUUACUCCCCCUCUCUGCACGAGAGGUGUUUCACUCAUGCUCCCUGCCCCACUUGACACAUGUUCACGGAUGCGCACAGCCCUCCCUCGGGGUAGAAGGAUGUUCUCACGCACAACCCCCCUUUGCAACGGAGGGCGUUUGCGCAUGCAUCCUGCCCCACUAGCGCGGGAGUUUGUUCUCACGUGUGUAAGGCCCCCUCCCUCCUGGCGUAAGGGCAUUCACCCAUGUGCACCAUUCCCCAUUUGGCAUGAGAAGGUGUUGACCUAUGUGACUUGAUACAUCACCAUGGGAGAAUAUUCACGCAUCUGCCCCACCCUCUUCUGCCCCGGAGGGGAGGUUGUGUUCAUGCAUGGGCACAGCCCACAGUCAUUGAGGGACGGUAUUCAUGCAUGCGCACAACAACCUCUCCAUGAGGGAGGGUGUUCACACAUGCGCCAUGCAUCCCUCAGCAAGGGAAUGGUUUAAGCAUGCGCCCCAUACACACUUUGGCACGGAGGGUGUUGACCUAUGCACCUCGUCCCCUCAGCACAGGAGGUUGUUCCUAGAUGUGACCAGCCCCUGUCGUGGCGGAAGUGUGUUCACGUUUGUAAACAACCCCGGCUAGGGGAGGGAUGCUAUUCGCACGUGGGCCCCACCCCAUACCAUGGGGGGCUGUUCAUACAUGUGCACAGCUCUCCCUACUGGCGGAAGUGUGUUCACACAUGCACAAAAGUCCUGCUCAAAGAUAUAGGGCGUUUCCACAUUAGCACAACCCCCAUCAGCGAGGGAGGGCAUUCAUGCAUGCUCCUUACCCGCUACUGCAGUAGGCUCUACAGGCAUGUGCACAGCA